Molecule: small RNA, 256 nt
Filed under: Arabidopsis thaliana (thale cress)
Lineage: Eukaryota; Viridiplantae; Streptophyta; Magnoliopsida; Brassicales; Brassicaceae
Description: ATSL032630
Source: RNAcentral
AACCAGCCAAGGUUCAUGACGAUGACGAAGACGUGUCGAGCGAAGACGAGAACGAGACACACAACAGCAACGCCGUGUACUACAAGGAGAUGAUAAGAAAAUCCAACGCCGAGCUUGAACCGUCCGUUUUGGACCCGAGGGACGAAUACACGGCUGAUAGCUGGAUCGAGCGUAACCCUUCCAUGGUACGUCUCACAGGGAAACAUCCCUUCAACUCCGAGGCGCCUCUUAACCGUUUAAUGCACCACGGGUUUAU